CCUACGGGUGGCAGCAGUGGGGAAUAUUGGACAAUGGGCGAAAGCCUGAUCCAGCCAUGCCGCGUGUGUGAAGAAGGCCUUCGGGUUGUAAAGCACUUUCAGUGGGGAAGAAAGCCUUGGGGCUAAUACCCUCGAGGAAGGACAUCACCCACAGAAGAAGCACCGGCUAACUCCGUGCCAGCAGCCGCGGUAAUACGGAGGGUGCGAGCGUUAAUCGGAAUUACUGGGCGUAAAGCGCGCGUAGGCGGUCUGAUAAGCCGGUUGUGAAAGCCCCGGGCUCAACCUGGGAACGGCAUCCGGAACUGUCAGGCUAGAGUGCAGGAGAGGAAGGUAGAAUUCCCGGUGUAGCGGUGAAAUGCGUAGAGAUCGGGAGGAAUACCAGAGGCGAAGGCGGCCUUCUGGACUGACACUGACGCUGAGGUGCGAAAGCGUGGGUAGCAAACAGGAUUAGAUACCCUAGUAGUC
This 465-nucleotide ribosomal RNA is filed under the name Vreelandella stevensii. Its description in RNAcentral is "partial 16S ribosomal RNA". It matches the Rfam family "Bacterial small subunit ribosomal RNA", at positions 338 to 795 of the family's 1533-position model. The record is from RNAcentral. Lineage: Bacteria; Pseudomonadati; Pseudomonadota; Gammaproteobacteria; Oceanospirillales; Halomonadaceae.